UGGGAAUUUUGGACAAUGGGCGCAAGCCUGAUCCAGCCAUGCCGCGUGCGGGAAGAAGGCCUUCGGGUUGUAAACCGCUUUUGUCAGGGAAGAAAUCUUCUGAGUUAAUACCUCGGGAGGAUGACGGUACCUGAAGAAUAAGCACCGGCUAACUACGUGCCAGCAGCCGCGGUAAUACGUAGGGUGCAAGCGUUAAUCGGAAUUACUGGGCGUAAAGCGUGCGCAAGGCGGUUUUUGUAAGACAGAGGUGAAAUCCCCGGGCUUCAACCUGGGAACUGCCUUUGUGACUGCAAGGCGUUGAGUGCGGCAGAGGGGGGAUGGAAUUCCGCGUGUAGCAGUGAAAUGCGUAGAUAUGCGGAGG
This 361-nucleotide ribosomal RNA is filed under the name uncultured bacterium. RNAcentral describes it as "partial 16S ribosomal RNA". It matches the Rfam family "Bacterial small subunit ribosomal RNA", at positions 356 to 704 of the family's 1533-position model. The record is from RNAcentral.